Molecule: ribosomal RNA, 467 nt
Filed under: uncultured bacterium
Lineage: Bacteria
Description: partial 16S ribosomal RNA
Rfam family: Bacterial small subunit ribosomal RNA
Source: RNAcentral
ACGAACGCUGGCGGCGUGCUUAACACAUGCAAGUCGAACGGAAAGGCCCUGCUUUUGUGGGGUGCUCGAGUGGCGAACGGGUGAGUAACACGUGAGUAACCUGCCCUUGACUUUGGGAUAACUUCAGGAAACUGGGGCUAAUACCGGAUAGGAGCUCCUGCUGCAUGGUGGGGGUUGGAAAGUUUCGGCGGUUGGGGAUGGACUCGCGGCUUAUCAGCUUGUUGGUGGGGUAGUGGCUUACCAAGGCUUUGACGGGUAGCCGUCCUGAGAGGGUGACCGGCCACAUUGGGACUGAGAUACGGCCCAGACUCCUACGGGAGGCAGCAGUGGGGAAUAUUGCACAAUGGGCGGAAGCCUGAUGCAGCAACGCCGCGUGCGGGAUGACGGCCUUCGGGUUGUAAACCGCUUUCGCCUGUGACGAAGCGUGAGUGACGGUAAUGGGUAAAGAAGCACCGGCUAACUACGUG